Molecule: unclassified non-coding RNA, 203 nt
Filed under: Glomus sp.
Lineage: Eukaryota; Fungi; Glomeromycota; Glomeromycetes; Glomerales; Glomeraceae
Description: partial contains 5.8S ribosomal RNA and internal transcribed spacer 2
Rfam family: 5.8S ribosomal RNA (bases 1-71)
Source: RNAcentral
GUGAAUCAUCAAAUUUUUGAACGCAAAUUGCACUUUCGGGUAUUCCGGAAAGUAUGCCUGUUUGAGGAUCAGUGAAAUAAAAAUCGGUGUUGUUUCUGCAUUUCUUGGUGACGCGCCGGAAUUGGGCCGUCUUGCCUUCGGGUAAGUGACUUAAAAAUUUGCAUGAUUUUCGAACUUAUUUAAUUUGCUGACUGACGUUUGAU